UGCUGGGUAGUGUAAUGGUUAACAUAUCACAUUUUGACUGUGAUGAUUCCGGUUCGAGUCCGGCCCCGGUAA
Molecule: transfer RNA, 72 nt
Filed under: Chitinophaga agrisoli
Lineage: Bacteria; Pseudomonadati; Bacteroidota; Chitinophagia; Chitinophagales; Chitinophagaceae
Description: Chitinophaga sp. BN140078 tRNA-Gln
Rfam family: tRNA
About the family: Transfer RNA (tRNA) molecules are approximately 80 nucleotides in length. Their secondary structure includes four short double-helical elements and three loops (D, anti-codon, and T loops). Further hydrogen bonds mediate the characteristic L-shaped molecular structure. tRNAs have two regions of fundamental functional importance: the anti-codon, which is responsible for specific mRNA codon recognition, and the 3' end, to which the tRNAs corresponding amino acid is attached (by aminoacyl-tRNA synthetases). tRNAs cope with the degeneracy of the genetic code in two manners: having more than one tRNA (with a specific anti-codon) for a particular amino acid; and 'wobble' base-pairing, i.e. permitting non-standard base-pairing at the 3rd anti-codon position.
Source: RNAcentral